Molecule: ribosomal RNA, 574 nt
Filed under: uncultured bacterium
Lineage: Bacteria
Description: bacterial SSU rRNA
Rfam family: Bacterial small subunit ribosomal RNA
Source: RNAcentral
CCUACGGGAGGCAGCAGUGGGGAAUAUUGGACAAUGGGGGAAACCCUGAUCCAGCCAUGCCGCGUGAGUGAUGAAGGCCUUAGGGUUGUAAAGCUCUUUCGACGGGGACGAUGAUGACGGUACCCGUAGAAGAAGCCCCGGCUAACUUCGUGCCAGCAGCCGCGGUAAUACGAAGGGGGCUAGCGUUGUCCGGAAUUACUGGGCGUAAAGCGCGCGUAGGCGGUUACGCAAGUCGGGCGUGAAAGCCCGGGGCUCAACCCCGGAACUGCGUCCGAGACUGCGUGACUUGAGACCGGAAGAGGAGAGCGGAAUUCCCAGUGUAGAGGUGAAAUUCGUAGAUAUUGGGAAGAACACCAGUGGCGAAGGCGGCUCUCUGGUCCGGUUCUGACGCUGAGGCGCGAAAGCGUGGGGAGCAAACAGGAUUAGAUACCCUGGUAGUCCACGCCGUAAACGAUGAGUGCCAGACGUCGGGGGGCUCGGCCCUUCGGUGUCGACGCUAACGCAUUAAGCACNCGCUGGAGUCGCGCAGUAACUACAAGAUAGACGCGNGAGACNGCACGCGACACGAGGAGAG